This 457-nucleotide ribosomal RNA is filed under the name Mammaliicoccus sciuri. Its description in RNAcentral is "bacterial SSU rRNA". It matches the Rfam family "Bacterial small subunit ribosomal RNA", at positions 84 to 523 of the family's 1533-position model. Lineage: Bacteria; Bacillati; Bacillota; Bacilli; Caryophanales; Staphylococcaceae. The record is from RNAcentral.
CUCUGAUGUUAGCGGCGGACGGGUGAGUAACACGUGGGUAACCUACCUAUAAGACUGGGAUAACUCCGGGAAACCGGGGCUAAUACCGGAUAAUAUUUUGAACCGCAUGGUUCAAUAGUGAAAGACGGUUUCGGCUGUCACUUAUAGAUGGACCCGCGCCGUAUUAGCUAGUUGGUAAGGUAACGGCUUACCAAGGCGACGAUACGUAGCCGACCUGAGAGGGUGAUCGGCCACACUGGAACUGAGACACGGUCCAGACUCCUACGGGGAGGCAGCAGUAGGGAAUCUUCCGCAAUGGGCGAAAGCCUGACGGAGCAACGCCGCGUGAGUGAUGAAGGUCUUCGGAUCGUAAAACUCUGUUGUUAGGGGAAGGAACAAAUUUGUUAGUAACUGAACAAGUCUUGACGGUCCCUAACCAGAAAGCCCACGGCUAACUACGUGCCAGCAGCCGCGGUAA